RNAcentral lists this ribosomal RNA (478 nucleotides) under uncultured bacterium. RNAcentral describes it as "partial 16S ribosomal RNA". It matches the Rfam family "Bacterial small subunit ribosomal RNA", at positions 28 to 507 of the family's 1533-position model. The record is from RNAcentral.
GAUGAACGCUAGCGGCAGGCCUAACACAUGCAAGUCGAGGGAGAAGCCCUUUCGGGGGCAGAAACCGGCGCACGGGUGCGUAACGCGUAUGCAACCCACCUUUCACAGGGGGAUAGCCCGAAGAAAUUUGGAUUAAUACCCCAUAAUAUUAUUGGAUGGCAUCAUUUGAUAAUUAAAACUGCGGUGGUGAAAGAUGGGCAUGCGUCCUAUUAGCUAGUUGGAGUGGUAACGGCACCCCAAGGCUACGAUAGGUAGGGGUCCUGAGAGGGAGAUCCCCCACACUGGUACUGAGACAGGGACCAGACUCCUACGGGAGGCAGCAGUGAGGAAUAUUGGUCAAUGGUCGGAAGACUGAACCAGCCAUGCCGCGUGCAGGAAGAAUGCCUUAUGGGUUGUAAACUGCUUUUAUAUGGGAAGAAUAAGGCGUACGUGUACGUUGAUGACGGUACCAUAUGAAUAAGCAUCGGCUAACUCCGUG